CAAAUUACAAGAGACAUCUUUAUGGACAUUUUUCAAUAUUUUAUUACAAUCUCAAUCCAGAAAAUAUCAUUAGUUCAUGACAUAUACACAUUCUUACAUGGAACCUCCUUCCCCCCAACUUUUUAAGCAGGUAAAUCGUAUUUCAUAUACAUGAUAUACAUCAAACAUUAAAAAAUAAAAGUUCAGGGAUUCCAAGGCUAUUUGUGGUCCCCCAGACAGUCCCCCAGGCUUUCAUGCAUACACUUACUCUUCUUGGUCAUACAUCAGCCAUGAGCAACAAAUACAUAUAAACCCUCCUCAAAUGGAUUGACCAAGUAGAGAGAUCAGCAAGAAAUGCUACCAGGAAUUACUUCCUUCAUUCAGUAAUCUGCCCAUUUCGAAACAUGGUGCUUACCUUUGUCUACUGUCAGUGAGAUACGAUUAGGUUACACAGAACAUAGCUGAAUAAAAUGUCAGGGUUUUUAUUUGGUUCUAUUAAUGUAACUCCCCUGUGCUACUGUCAUAAUGCUGUUUAGUAUUUAGAAGUAAAUUGAGUUUGCAAAUUAAGAUGGUAGUAAAAUGUUAAUUACCGAGUUAAGUGCAAUAAUGUAAUCCCCGCCCCUCCUGUCCCCCAUUCUAAUCCGUGUUCCAGGCUUCAUUUAAAAGUGGUAACACAAACACUACUUGCCUUUAAAAAUGUAAGCAUUAAAGGAAAAAGAAAGUCAGAAUAUUUUUUUUCUUUAAAAAAAGUGUUGAAAAUAUUUUAACUUGAAAAAAAAUUGGGUCACUUUUACUGAAAGACAGUUUAUAGAAAAAAUUUUUUUUUUAAAUGCUAAGUUCUGAAUUGUACAAAAAUGAUACACAAGUUUGGAAACAAAGAAUGAUUUGAUUCUCUAUCCAAAACUGAAGUUCAGAUGGUUAGCCUACCUGGGAAGAGCACUUCUAAAAAAUAUUGUGCCCCGGGACUCUUUCUAGCAUGCUCAAACUCUACUAAGUUUUUUUAAACAUUAUUUUACUGGGUAAC
Non-coding RNA from Pseudonaja textilis, 1003 nucleotides. The record is from RefSeq and is a predicted model, not a curated record. Lineage: Eukaryota; Metazoa; Chordata; Lepidosauria; Squamata; Elapidae.